Molecule: ribosomal RNA, 467 nt
Filed under: Loxodontofilaria caprini
Lineage: Eukaryota; Metazoa; Nematoda; Chromadorea; Rhabditida; Onchocercidae
Description: partial 12S ribosomal RNA
Source: RNAcentral
UUUAAUUUUUAACUCUAUUUGUUGUGAUAUCUCAAUUUUUAUAAUAUUUUUUAUUUUAUUUUUUAGUAAAAUAUUUUAAUUUAUUUUUAUUUUUUUUAGUUUUUUGAGAGUAUUAAAAAUUUGUUUUUUGAACUGGAUUAGUACCCAGGUAAUCAAAAUUUAUUAAUUCGGGAGUAAAGUUUUAUUUAAACCGAAAAAAUAUUGACUGACUUUAGAUUUUUCUUUGGAACAUGUGUUUUUAUUGGAGAGCCCUCUUUUUUAGUGAGUUUUAUUGACACAUGUAUGAUUGUUUAGUUUUUAUUUUAUUUUGUAAUGCUUUUUUUGUUUUGGCAUUAAAAACAGAUAUAUAUUUGGUUUAUAAAUUUAUUAUUCAUGUGUUACUAUUAUAAAUUUUUUUUGGAUUAAUUUUUUAUUUUAUUUUUGAAAUUGGAAAAGAAAGUAAUUUUUUCUUAAUGUUUUAAUGAAUU